AUUUGCAAACCGUGCAUCCUAUUCCGGUGAUCUUUAUAUCGAUUUCAACCGAAAUCUUCUCAUCUUUCCAGCGGCAUACUUGGUUUGCCAAGUUGAUGCCUGGUUCAUCAUUUUCCUUCCGGAGCAUACAUAUGCAUUGCAUAUCACAUCUCGCAUAGCAUGUCAUGUAUUGCAUCAUAUUGCUUGUGCAUUGUUCCUUGUUUGAUUGUGGUUCCGUUGCUUGUGUUCUUGCUUUGGGUAGAGCUGGGAGACGAGUACGUGUACGAGGAACCUGUUGAGAACGCCUACGAGGAUCAAGCCUUCGACAACUCUGAGAACCUUGCAGGCAAGAUGACCAUACCUUCGAUAUCACUUCUAUCUUUGCUUGCUAGAUGCUCGCUCUUUUGCUAUGCCUAUGCUGCGAUACCUACCACUUGCUAUAUCAUGUCACCCAUAUUGCCAUGUCAACCUCUAACCAUCCUUUCCUAGCAAACCGUUGAUUGGCUAUGUUACCGCUUUGCUCAGCCCCUCUUAUAGCGUUGCUAGUUGCAGGUGAAGAUGAAGUUUGUUUCUUGUUGGAACACGGAUAUUUUGGGAUAUCACAAUAUCUAUUGUUUUAAUUAAUGCAUCUAUAUACUUGGUAAAGGGUGGAAGGCUCGGCCUUAUGCCUGGUGUUUUGUUCCACUCUUGCCGCCCUAGUUUCCGUCAUACCGGUGUUAUGUUCCCGGAUUUUGCGUUCCUUACGCGGUCGGGUGAUUUAUGGGACCCCCCUGACAGUUCGCUUUGAAUAAAACUUGUCCAGCAAGGCCCAACCUUGGUUUUACCAUUUGCCUCACCUAGCCCUUUUUUUCCCUUGGGUUUCCGGAGCCCGAGGGUCAUCUUUAUUUUACCCCCCGGGCCAGUGCUCCUUGGAGUGUUGGUCCAACCUGAGCGAUGUCCGGUGCCCCCUGGGCAACCAGGGUCUAUGCCAACCCGUCGUCUUGCUCAUCCGGUGUGCCCUGAGAACGAGAUAUGUGCAGCUCCUAUCGGGAUUUGUCGGCACAUCGGGCGGCUUUGCUGGUCUUGUUUUACCAUUGUCGAAAUGUCUUGAUGUACCGGGAUACCGAGUCUGAUCGAAGUGUCUCGGGUGAAGGUCUAUUCCUUCGUUGAUCGCGAGAGCUUGUUAUGGGCUAAGUUGGGACACCCCUGCAGGGUAUAAACUUUCGAGAGCCGUGCCCGUGGUUAUGUGGCAGAUGGGAAUUUGUUAAUGUCCGGUUGUAGAAAACCCGAAGUUGACCUUAAUUAAAAUACAUCAACCGAGUGUGUUACCGUGAUGGUCUCUUCUCGGCGGAGUCCGGGAAGUGAACACGGUGUUGGAGUUAUGUUUGACGUAAGUAGUUUCAGGAUCACUUCUUGAUCGCUACUAGCUUCACGACCGUGCCUUGCUUCUCUUCUCGCUCUCUUUUGCGAUGUAGCCACCAUAUAUGCUAGUCGCUUGCUGCAGCUCCACCUCUUUACACCAGCCUUCCCUUAAGCUUAAAUAGUCUUGAUCUCGCGGGUGUGAGAUUGCUGAGUCCCCGUGGCUCACAGAUUCUACCAAAACAGAUGCAGGUACCGACGAUACCAGCGUAGAUGGCGCAACUGAGCUGAAGUGGGAAUUUGAUGAGGCCCUUGGUCGUUACUAUGUUUCAUUUCCAGACGAUUAGUAGUGGAGCCCAGUUGGGGCGAUCGGGGAUCUGUGUUGCAUUUGGGGUAUUCUUCUUUUAUUUUGGUUUCGUAGUCGGACCUUGAGUGUAAUCUGAAUGAUGGAUGUUUAUUUAUGUAUUGUGUGAAGUGGCGACUGUAAGCCAACUAUGUAUCUUUUCCCUUAUGUAUUACAUGGAUUGUGCGAAGAUUACCUCACUUGCGACAUUGCUUUCAAUGCGGUUAUGCCUCUAGGUCGUGCUUCGACACGUGGGAGAUAUAGCCGCAUCGAGAGCGUUACAAGUUGGUAAUCAGAGCCAUCCCCGACCUUAGGAGCCCCCACUGCUUGAUCGUUUUUAGCGGCCGAGUUGUGUCUAGAAAAAUGUUUUGAGUCAUUUAGGAUUAUAUAUAUCGGAGAGUUAGGAAUUCUUUUACUCCUCAGUCCCUUCGUCGCUCUGGUGAGGUCUCCUGACGUAGAAGUUUUGACUUUCCUCUCCUCAAAUUUCACUAAAAUUUUUUUUAGGAUCACGCGGGUAUCUUAGAAUCGUUCCGAUUGUUUUAUGAUGACAACAUUGUCUUGGUGCCUCCCGUCAGCAGGGGUUUAGUGGAGGUGUCCCGGGGAGUUGAGCUCUGAGGUGUUGUCGUCAUAAUUUUAUCGUUGCAAUUCUGGAAUACCUGAGUUUAGUACGCCGACAUUGAAAAUCUCUUUUAUGCAGUCCGUUGGUGAGAUAACCCCGCUAACCCAGUACUGAGGUGAGUACGGGAGUAUUGCCAUGACUCGCAUAACGGAUGCUUUUCGAAGGUUGAGGUACACGAUUUCCGAAGGUUUCUUGGUUAUGUGUUGAAGGAUGGAUACAGCUGGAUGUAGGGAUUGUUAGUUUGGGUGAGAUAUAUUGCUUCCCCUGUAUCCCCAACACCUGAUUGCAUAACCGGAAAGUUUCGGGAGUUUAUAGGUGGGAUUCAAGUAGCUCUAGCACUUCUUCCGCAGAUAUUUGGUUUGUGAUUGGGUAAUCCUUACCACUUAUUUGUUCCAUUCAUACCUUGUUUUUAUUUUUAUUCAUCAAUCUCUUAUCAAAUGGCUUCUCACCUUUAUGGACGUGAUGUUUACUUUGGAAUUCAUUCGUUCAUCCCUGUUCGAAUGUUUAUUGUGAAGACUAUAUGUUGCAAUUUCUAUCCAUUGAUUCAAAUUGUCUAUCUGUCUAUCAAGAUGCUAACGGAUGUCACCCUCUUCAGGAUGGCUCCGCCAACGCGUCAGAAUCCGGAACGCAGUGAUGGGAGUCAGGCGAACCCUCCACCUCCACCUCCGCCUCCGGAGGCAUGGCAAACUUUGAUGGCAACCACUAACGCCAACGCUCAGUUGUUGAUCCAGCUGAUGCAAGAGCGUAACCAAGGCCAAGGCAACCAAGGGAAUCAAGGUCAAGGGCAGUUCUUCCAUCAGCCACAGUUUCCUACCCUCAACCAGUUCCUGGCAAAUCAGCCAAAGUCUUUCAGCUACUGUGUCGAGGCCACAGACGCCGACGAUUGGCUCGUGGAUAUCAACAAGCAUUUCGAAUGCAGCAAUGUCAGACCUGAGGACUACGUCAAGUUCACGUCUUUUCAGCACAAGGAUCAGGCAGCUGAUUGGUUCCAGCAAUACAAGGAUUCCAGAGGUGGUCGACUGAUUACUUGGACUGACUUCUGUCGGGACUUUAAAGCUCACCACAUUCCUACCAGUGUUGUUGAGAGCAAGCGUGAGGAGUUCCGCAAUCUCAAGAAAGGAAACAUGUCAGUGUACGAAUACAACAUACAGUUUCAGAAACUUGCUCGCUUCGCUAAACAAGACGUUCCUGACGAAAAGAGUAUGAUCUAUCAGUUCAGAGGUGGCCUUAGAGAGGAUCUGCAGUUAGCUCUUGUUCUUAUUGAGCCUACUCAGUUUGAUCAAUUCUAUAAUAUGGCACUCAAGCAAGAAGGUGCUCAGCUCAAGUGUGAGGCUUCAAAGAAGAGAAUCAGGGAUGCAGUUCAGUCUUCUUCCUCUCAAGGUGCAGCUAAGCAGCAAAAGUUCUACCUUCCUCCUCCGUUUCGUCAGCCUUAUCAGCAGAAGAACUCAGGUGGUCGUGGAUCUUCCCACCCACCCAACCCAAGCUACCAGAACAAGUCUCAGCCUCAAGUUCUCGGGAUGGACUGGCUUUCUCAGCACAAGGCUCAGCUUGAUUGUGCUGCCAGGCAAAUUCAAUUGACACACCCUUCUGAGGAUGUUAUCAUCUAUGCCGCUCGUGUUGAAACCAUUCGGUUGUUUUCUCUCAAUGAGAAGGGCGAGUUGGAUGCUAUCUCACAAAUUCCAGUCGUUUGUGAGUACCAAGAUGUCUUUCCAGAAGAGCUUCCGGGUAUGCCUCCGCAUCGGCCAGUCGAAUUCGUUAUCGAUCUUGAGCCUGGCACUGAACUCGUUUGCAAGUGUCCUUACAAGCUUGGACCCAAGGAGCUGAAAGAAUUGAAGAAGCAUCUCGAUGAACAAGAGCGUCUGGGUUUGAUCAGACCGAGUUCAUCUCCAUGGGGAUGUGGAGUUCUUUUUGUCCAGAAGAAGGAUGGCACGGACCGACUUUGCGUCGAUUACCGUCCAUUGAACAAGAAGACAAUCAAGAACAAGUAUCCACUUCCCAACAUCAAUGAGCUAUUCGAGCAACUCAAAGGUGCUAAAGUAUUCUCCAAGCUUGACCUCCAUAUGGGUUAUCAUCAGAUUCGCAUUCGUGAACAAGAUAUUCCCAAGACAGCAUUCAGAACAAGCUUUGGUUCUUAUGAAUAUACUGUCAUGUCUUUCGGCCUUGUCAAUGCUCCUCCAACAUUCUCUUGCAUGAUGAACUUUAUCUUCAACCCCUACACCAAUGAUUUCGUCUUGGUGUAUCUCGAUGAUAUUUUGGUCUUCUCCAAGAACAAGCAGGAUCAUGCCAAACAUUUGUGAUUGGUACUCGACAAGCUCAGAGAACAUCAAUUCUAUGCGAAGUUUUCCAAAUGUGAGUUCUGGCUUGAUGAAGUUCUUUAUCUUGGUCAUAUCAUCUCUGCCAAGGGAAUUGCUGUUAAUCCGGCGAAGGUUUCUGCGGUUCUGGAUUGGGAACCUCCUCAGAAUGUCAAGCAACUCCGCAGUUUUCUUGGGCUUGCAAGCUAUUGCCGAAGAUUCGUUGAGAACUUCUCUAAGAUUGCAAAGCCUCUUUCCAACCUCCUCCAGAAGCAUGUCAAGUAUGUAUGGAUGCCUGAGUGUGAUGUCGCUUUCAACACCCUCAAAGAGAAGCUAGUUACAGCUCCUGUCUUGACUCCUCCUGAUGAAUCCAAGCCAUUCGAAGUUUUCUGUGAUGCUUCCUUGCAAGGACUCGGUGCUGUGUUAAUGCAAGAGAAGAAAGUUGUGGCCUAUAUCUCUCGCCAGUUGAAUCCCAACGAAAAGAACUACCCCACUCACGAUCUUGAGUUGGCGGCAGUUGUCCAUGCAUUGAUAACAUGGAGACAUCUCUUGUUGGGAAGGAAAGUGGACAUUUUCACCGAUCACAAGAGUCUCAAGUAUAUCUUUGUCGGUGUACUAAAGUAGGGGGUACCUUAGUACCCCGAACUUGUGCACGGGCAGUCGCAGCACCCCCGUGGCGGGGCUUGCCGGGCGCCCGGCAAGGCCCUCCACUCUUUAGUACUGCCAUUCAGGAACAAAGUACUAGCCAAGAACACGAAGGCCCCGGCAAGAGGAGCUUGCUGGGGAGGCCAACCAGGGCAUCACCAGAAGACUUGCCGCGGCGCCCCGCGCGCCCCGGCAAGGCCCGGCGGCCGGCAAGCUUGCCGGCACAACAAGAAAAGGGCCGCGGCAAGGCACUUGCCGCGGCAAGGCUGCCACCCGAACUCCAGCGCACCCGGCGACGUGUCGUUACAAGGCCAUCCCAAGGGCACGUGGUGAGGCGCUACGCAGCCAUGCGGAGCGAGGUGGCAAAUGGAGCUGACAGAGGCGCCAUCGUGGCAACCAGUGGCUCACCUAACGGUCGUUUCUUUACACUCUUGGGGCGACCAGACGGGCAUUUAAUGCCCUUGUCCCCUACCGUCAGAGUUAGGUAGGGGCACUGUUGUGCACUGUUGUACCAACACGCGUUUUUACCUUUCUACCCCCUCUUCCUACGCUGCCACCUGUGGGUCCCCCCUUCAGACUAUAAAAGGGAGGCCCAUGCGCACGUAGAAGGGGUUCGGUCCAUUCGACACCCACAUAACCACCAUACGCUCGCACGCUCGAGCAAGAUCAAAUAACAAACACAAAGCAGCAGUAGGGGUGUUAUCUCUCCGGAGAGCCCCGAAGCUGGGUAAAGAUUGCCCGUCUCCCCGCGCGCGCUCGACCUCGAUCUGCUCUGCGCACGAUCCCCGCUCCCUUGCCGAACCAGAAGGGGCCCCCAGUGCCCCAUAGGUGCUCGAGGCCACAGAGAUACGCCCCGACAUCUUUGGCGCGCCAGGUAGGGGGGCGUCGAGGUCGUGAGCACCUGAUCCGGUCUCCACGCGCGCUACAACAACAUCAUCGUCAACAUGCCACCGAAGAAGAAGCCUUCGGAGGUGGCUGCUCCAUCUACAUCGAUUCCGCCACCACCGCUGGAGCAAACAGGCGGUGGAGUGGACGCCGGCGGAGGAGCGGGCGCCGCCGGUGGGUCUCGUGUCGUCACCAGAUCCAAAAACAAGGCCCCGCAAGCGUCGGCGACCGAGCAGACACCGCACCCUUCCCAGGAGGUGCAAGGUCAACAACGCCCCGGUGCUCCUAGCACCGUGCUCGCAUUGGAACAAGGCCAAGCUGGUGGGUCGCAGGACGCUCGAGGUCAGCAUGCACGCCCGCAUGCUGGCGCGAGCGAGAUACGGUCGCCCGGACGGGGUGAUGCACCUCCCAAUCCAGUUGGGAGUCCGAGCACAUCUCGCUCCUCGCGCCGUUCGUCACCACCGCCACCCAAGACAGCAGAGGAAGCGCUGGCCCGAGCCCAGCUGCUUCUAGACUACCCUCCGGCGCCGCACAAGAUCGACGACUGGAGGAUGACCAUUUACAGCCUCAUCGGCUUCGCCAACGGCGACAAACCCCGGCGACCGAGCGCGUCGAGGCCCCGGCAAGGCGCCCAGGCACAAGCCGACGCCGACAAGACCGCUGGGGGUGCCACCUCUAUGCACUCCCAGCCCCGAAGGCCAAGAUCGCCAGCUCGCCGUACCAACCCCGACGGCGACUCCACCGCGUCGUCGGACCCGUGAACUCGCCGCGAUCAACGCCAUGUUCUCCAAGAACGACAACACGAAUACGCUCGCACUCGCAUCGAGCGCCGGAGAGAAGCGCGACGUCAAUCUGACCAGCGCGCUGGGCCCGCUGUCGACGCGCACGCACCCGGAGAACCAGGCGACUUGUCGUACGCGGCAGGUUGCCCUGCAUUCACCCGCGAGCUGCGGCAAGUCCAGUGGCCCAAAACCAAGAACUUCAAGCCAGACGUGCCCGAGAAGUACGACGGCAGGAUACACCCGUCGGAGUUCCUCAGCAUCUACACCAUCGCGGUGCAGGCUGCCGGAGGGCGCGAGGAGAAGAUCCUCGCCAACUACUUCCCGCUGGUACUCAAGCCUAACGUCAGAUCUUGGCUCAUGCACUUGCCGGACGGCUCCAUCUCUUCAUGGGCGGACCUGUGUCAUCAGCUUGUCGGCGCCUUCACGGGUGGCCACAAGCCUCAUGGCCAGGAGAGUGACCUCCACUUGCUCGUCCAGAAGGAGGAGGAGCCCCUGCGCAAGUACAUACAAAGAUUCAGCCAGGUGCAGCGCAACAUCCCAGACGUCCACCCUGCCGCGGUUAUUAGCGCGUUUCAUCAGAACGUGCGUAAUCGCAGGAUGAGGGAGGAGAUGGCGAUGAGCAAGAUCAGAGAUGUCAGCGAGCUCUACGCUCUGGCCGACAAGUGUGCACGGGCUGAGGAGGGGAGGAAAAUCCCCGGAGAGGUUGCCGGAGCAGAAGGAUCUGACAGUGAGGAUGCCGCCCCGGCAAGGAAGAACCGGAGGCGGAACAAUAGGAAGAGAAAAGCUAAGGAUGUAUUGGCUGUUGAGCAUUCCGGCAACGGAGGCGGCUCCGACAAGGCCAAAACCGACGACUCCGGCGAGGCUGUGGCAGCCGCCGACAAGCAGGACGGCUCCGGCAAGCGAUAUUGCAAGAUCCACCGCACCAAGGGCCAUGACCUCCAAACCUGCAAAAAAGUAGAGCAGAUGGCGGAGCUGCAAAAAGCUAAGUAUGAGCACCGCGAUAAGGAGAGAGCCCAGGGAGGUGGCGGAGGGUCCGGCAAGAAGCUUCCCGCCCGGGGGGACACCGCGGCAAGGCUAAGCCGCGGCAAGGAGACAGGCCUCCCCGCGGCCGCGACAAGGACGAAGAUGAAGAUGAGGAUGAAGAGAUGGAGGAAGAUGAGGCUGAUGAUCAAGAGUUUCAGAAGGCGACAGAAGUGUUGUGCAUCGACGGCAGCGCCUCCCUGCACACCUCGCACCGCCAACUCAAACAGUGGGUGCGAGAAGUGAAUGCAGCGGAGCCAUCCGUCGAGGCACGCAGGCCUCUGAAGUGGUCCAGCACGCCCAUCGUCUUCGACGUUGAGGACCACCCUGAUCGCAUCACUGCGGUCGGGUGCUUGCCGAUGUUGGUCUCACCAACAAUCCGCAACCUCAAGGUCACGAAGAUGCUGGUUGACGGCGGGGCCGGCCUGAAUUUGAUUUCCUCCGUAGUGCUCAAGAAGCUCCAGAUCCCCGACAGCGAGCUCGAAGAAACUGGUGCCUUUCAAGGAAUAAAUCCGGGAAGGAGCAAGCCCAAGGGGAAGAUCACAUUGCCAGUGACGUUCGGAAGCGAACUGAACUUCAGGACUGAGAGGGUCACGUCCGAUGUGGCUGAUAUCCCCUUACCCUACAACGGGAUACUCGGCCGACCCGCACUCGCCAAGUUCAUGGCGGCCUCUCACUACGCGUACAAUGUGCUCAAGAUGCCCGGCACGAUGAGUGUCAUUUCUGUCCAAGGCGACAAGAGGGAUGCACUCAUCUGCACCGACAAGAUCUACCGGGAAGCAGCGGCCGCAGCAGAGCGCGAGCCACUUGCCGUUGAAGCUCCCCGGGGGAAGAAGAAAGCCAAGUACGGCAAGGAUAGCUCUGGUGCUCACUCCGGCAAACGCACCUUCCCGGAGCGCUGCGCUGCCGUCGAGGACACACCAUCGAGCUCCGCCGGCAAUUACAAGAAGGCAAAGAUAACCUCGCCGGAGACCAAAAAGGUGGCCGCCAAGGAGGACGGCACUGGUGGUACUUUCACCAUCAGUGCCACGCUUGAUCCUAAAUAGGAAAGCGCGCUCGUUGCUUUCCUGCGGGCGAAUGUCAAUGUGUUUGCAUGGCAACCAUCUGACAUCCCCGGCGUUCCCAGGGAAGUAAUCGAGCACCACCUUGCCGUCUGCCCUCACGCGCGGCCCGUCAAGCAAAAAGUCAGGAAGCAAGCAAUAGAGCGUCAAGAGUUCAUAGCAGAGGAGAUCAAGAAGUUGGAAGCAGCAGGCCUGAGCCGAGGAGUACUCCAUCCAACGUGGUUAGCCAAUCCCGUAGUCGUGCGCAAAGCAAACGGGAAGUGGAGGCUUUGUAUUGACUUCACCGAUGUGAACAAAGCUUGUCCCAAGGAUCCAUUUCCCUUGCCGCGCAUUGACCAGAUUGUCGACUCCACAGCAGGAUGUGAUCUGCUUUCAUUCCUUGAUGCAUACUCGGGAUAUCAUCAGAUCUUCAUGGCUGAAGAGGACGAAGAGAAGACCGCGUUCAUUACUCCAUGUGGCACGUACUGUUUCGUACGGAUGCCUUUCGGACUAAAGAAUGCUGGUUCGACAUUUGUGAGAGUGGUCAGUCAUGCUUUUGAGCCACAACUACACAGAAAUGUAGAAGCUUACAUGGAUGACAUAGUGGUCAAGAGCAAGGACAAAGAGACUUUGAUCCAAGACUUGGACGAGACUUUCACAGAUAUGCGCAAGAUCAACCUCAAGUUGAAUCCCGAGAAGUGCGUGUUCGGAGUUCCUUCCGGCAAGCUUCUCAGAUUCUUUGUGUCACAGAGGGGGAUUGAAGCCAAUCCCGACAAGAUCAGGGCCAUCGAGCAAAUCGAAGCACCGAAGCGGGUCAAGGACGUACGAAAGCUUGCCGGCUGCGUUGCUGCCCUCAGCAGGUUCAUUUCCAAGUCCGCUGAGCGCGCCCUGCCGUUUUUCAAAAUCUUGAAAAAGGCAGACCCGAUGAGAUGGACUCCGGAAGCGGAGGCUGCGCUGCAGGACUUGAAGAAAUAUUUGUCCUCCACUCCAACACUUGUCGCGCCUAAGCCACAAGAGAAGUUGCUGCUAUAUCUGGCGGCAACUAAUCAAGUGGUUAGUGCUGCGUUGGUGGCGGAGAGAGAGGCAGAUGACGAGCCAGCGGCCGCGGCAAGCAAGUCCAACGACAAGCAGGGGGCUUCCCCGACAGGCUCUGGCCCGACAAGCCCUGAUCCGGCAAGUUCUGGUUCCGGCAAGGAUGCGCCUGCGCAGCCACAAGAAGAAAAGCAGAAGAAGAUGGUGCAGCGUCCAGUUUACUUUGUCAGUUCCCUUCUGCAGGGGGCUAGAUCAAGGUACUCUGGUGUGCAGAAGUUGCUUUUUGGCCUCCUCAUGGCCUCGAGGAAGCUGCGCCAUUACUUUCAAGCACAUGAGAUCACAGUGGUCACUCGCUUUCCGCUGAAGAGGAUGUUACAGAAUCUGGAAGCGACAGGCAGGAUUGUCGAGUGGGCACUGGAAUUAUCAAGCUUUGGCCUCAAGUUUGAAAGUACUUCAACCAUUCAGAGCCGAGCAUUGGCAAAAUUUAUAGCAGAAUGGAUGCCAACACCCGACGGAGAAACUCCGGAGGGGAGCAUCCCCGUCAAGGAAGCAGACAAAGAAUGGAUCAUGUACUUUGAUGGUGCCUUCUCGCUGCAAGGCGCUGGCGCGGGCGUACUACUUGUCGCACCCACCGGGGAGCACCUCAAGUACAUGGUCCAGAUGCACUUUCCCAAGGAGCAAGCAACCAACAAUACUGCAGAAUAUGAGGGCUUGCUUGCCGGACUCAGGAUCGCGGCAGAACUUGGGAUCAGGAAGCUUAUUGUAAGGGGUGACUCACAGCUUAUCGUCCGCCAAGUUAACAAAGAUUAUCAGAGUCCGUUGAUGGAAGCGUACGUUGAUGAAGUGAGGAAGCUAGAAGAACAUUUUGACGGCCUGCAAAUGGAACAUGUUCCAAGAGCUCAGAAUGACAUUGCAGAUAGCCUGUCAAAGUGCGCCGCACUCAAGUUGCCUGUGGAACCAGGGAUUUUUGUGCUCAAACUAACUCAGCCGUCAGUGACACCAUCAACUAGACAAAGCAAGAAAAGAAAGUUGGUUAUUGGCGACUACUUUCCGACAGAGCUUCCCGAAGCCGCCGCCAAGAAGGUCCCCAGGAUCAACACAGAAAGUGCUGAGGAGCGAUCUGCUCCGGCAAGCCCCAGGGUCUGUUUCGUUGAGGCAGGCGCUCCCGACAAGCUGUGUCCCGACACGCUUGCUGGGGAGCAUCACGCUCCGGCCGGAUCCCAGAUCCUUGCCGUGGAAGCGGAUGUUCCCGCAGAAGCAUUUGCGCCUUUAGUCCUUGCCGUCGAGCCUCAGGCUCCGGCAUGGGCACAGCAAAUCGUCCAUUUCCUUCAAACAGGGGAACUUCCCGAGGAACAAGAAGAAGCAGAGAGAGUAGCCCGACAAUCGAGUAUGUACCAGUUUGUCGAUGGCAUAUUGUACAGAAGAAGAUUCAACGGAGUGAAAUUAAAGUGCAUUUCCCGGGAAGAUGGACGGCAGCUGUUGGCGGAGAUACAUGGAGGCAUAUGUGGUCACCACAUUGGCGCAAGAGCACUUGCCGGCAAGCCUUUCCGGCAAGGCUUCUUCUGGCCGACAGCCCUCCAGGAUGCAACUGCACAAGUAACCAAGUGUGAAGCGUGCCAGUUCCACUCCAAACAGAUUCACCAACCAGCUCAAGCUCUCCAAACAAUCCCUUUAUCCUGGCCAUUUUCGGCUGGGGCUCGACAUCCUCGGCCCUUUUCCCCGAGCUGUCGGGGGCUUUGAGUACUUGUACAUUGCAAUCGACAAGUUCACAAAGUGGCCUGAAGUGGAACCAGUGAGGAAGGUGACAGCACAGUCAGCAGUCAAGUUCUUCAGGUCAAUUGUUUGCCGUUUCGGAAUCCCCAACAGGAUCAUCACCGACAAUGGCACACAAUUCACGAGCCACACCUUCAUGCAGUACGCCCAAGAUCUUGGCACCAAGAUUUGCUUUGCUUCUGUUGCUCACCCGAGAAGCAACGGUCAAGUGGAGAGGGCGAACGCUGAAGUGCUGCGCGGGCUCAAGACCAGAACUUUCGAUAGGCUGCACAAGUGCGGAAGAAAUUGGAUCGAGCAGCUGCCGGUGGUUCUUUGGUCGAUCAGGACGACGCCAAAUCGAGCCACCAGCCAGACACCCUUUGCUCUCGUCUACGGAGCAGAGGCAGUUCUCCCCACGGAACUCGUAUACGGGUCACCACGAGUGCUCGCUUAUGAUGAGCUUGAGCAAGAGCAGCUGCGACAAGAUGACACGCUGCUCCUCGAGGAGGAUCGUCUUCAGGCUGCUGUGCGAGCUACUCGUUACCAGCAAACUUUGCGCCGCUAUCAUAGCCGCAAAGUUAACGCCAGAAGCUUCGAGGAAGGCGACCUUGUUCUUCGGUGAGUUCAAUCGGCCAAGAAUUCAAACAAGUUGACGCCAAAGUGGGAAGGCCCUUACCGGGUGAAACGAGUCACUAGGCCCGGCGCUGUCCGCCUUGAGACCGAAGAUGGCGUUCCAGUGAGCAACUCCUGGAACAUAGAACAUCUUCGCAAGUUUUACCCAUAAGGCGCGGUUACCGGACCCAUUCCGGCAACCACCUUCUUCUGUACAAGCAUUGCCGCUGUCGCAUAUAACCCUUUGUACAAAGCCGGGCGCAGCCCCCGUGCGUAAAUAAAGUUCACGUGCUUCGCACAUCUUGUCAAAUUUAAUGCAUUAUCUUCUUUUUGCAUCUGUAUCUGACACUCUGUGCAGCACAUAACCCCCGGUAAGCAAUAGCGAACCUUAAGGUUCCAUACGAUUAUUUUCUCUUCUUUCUUCUCAUAGACAGAAGAUUCCUCCGCCCACAAGUUCACCGGGGGGAAGGGAAGGUAGAAGUAUGGAACAGGCGACGUUCAAAGGAAUCUAGCCUUGCCGGGACACAGAAGACAGAAAAGCUAAGUAGCCAAAGAUUGAACCUAGUCAAUUUUAAAUUUUCAAGUUAUAUCCCUUGAACGUUCGUGCCUUGUAUGGAAAACCUGUGCGCGGAGGAAUCGACUCGCGACCAAGUUGCGCCCUUGCGUUGUUUCUGAGCCCGCUCAACAAUGCGAGUGGACUGCAACUAGUCCCGACAAGAUUUCUUGCCGGAAGAAGCGUCACCACAAGCUGCUGAUGUUCCGCACUCAGCAAGUGUGCUCGCACCGGCAAGGUCCCUCAACGCGUAGGGCAAAAAGCAUACAAGGGAUGCAACAGAAUAAAGGGAAUAGCGCGGCAAGCAGUAUCCAUAAUUAAGUUAUAUUACAAGAAUGACUUAUUAUGGCACUAACUGAAAUUGUUCCCGUAACCAAAAUGGCAGCAGCAAGAAAAGGGGAGAAGAGGAGCAGCCUAAUCUACGCGCUCGCCAUCGAGCCUCCUGACCUCGUUCACUUUGUCCAUGAUGGGUGCGACGAUGGCCUUGAGCUCCUCAACAUCAGCACCCUCCGGCAGCUUCUUGGUGACAUGGGAGAGGUCGAUGCCCGGGUUGCGGAAGAGGACCUUCACCAACACCUUCUCCAGGACCCCGGCGCAGACGGCGCGCGACUCGGCGGCCAACUGCUUCGGGAUCCUUUCCCAGAGCUGCCGUAGCGCCGUCACCACGUCCUUGAAGAAAAGCGUGAGCUUAGCGCUGGGCUGGAGGUUCGCUUCUGUGGAAUACCCGAAGCCCGUCAAGUCCAGCUCCGCCAACUCCUCGUCAAUGAGCGUGGCGAUGUUGACGAGGCCUUCCGUCCAGAGCUCCACUGUGGUUUUAAGGGUGUUCUGAGCCUUGGCGGCCCUCGUCAACAGCUCCUCGUUGUCCUUGAGGUCCUUCCUCAGGGUAUCUUCUCGUUUCUUGGCGGCGUCCAGCGUCUCCGUCAAGGUGGCCAGUUUCAGCUCCAGAUCAGCACUCGAGUCCUUGACGGCGUUCAGCUCUUUGAUCCUCUCAGAGAGUUGGGCUUGCAGAUCGCCGUGGGCGCGCGCAUCCUCCUCACGAUCGCGCUGGAGUGCGGCAAGCUCCUCGUUCUUCCUCGUCGCGUCCGCCUCCAGCCGCGUCGCUUUUUCCUCCAACUCCUUCUUGGCGGCCUCGGCAGCCGCGGCGGCGUCUUUCGCUUCCUUGAGCGCCCCGCCAAGUGACUGUUCCCGGCCGGCGAGCUCCUCGUCGUGGCUGUCCAAGUACGCUUUCCUUUGUAUCAGCUCGCCGUCCCGCUUGGACAGCUCCUCGGCGGCAAGCCUCUGCUGCUCCUCGGCUUUAGCCUUUUCCAGGAUGAACGCCUUCUUCGCCUCGUCGAGCUGCGCAUCUGGGGUGAGCUCAGGAGGGAAAAGCACCCGCCUCUUGCGCAGCGCCUCGAGCUCUUGUGCCUCGGUCGAUUUCUCGGCCUUCGCGGCCUUCGUAGCCUUCCCGGCCUUCGGGGCCAUGGCGGGGGCAGCGGGGGGAGGCAGAAGCGGCGGCAGCGACGGCGGCUAUGGGCGGCAGAAGCGCUAUUUCUUUUUCUCGAUUCAGGAGACGGAGGAGGGCGUCGGAGCUUUCGGAGGAAGGAACCGCAAAUGGCGAAAGUGGGGGAACGGCCCUGUUCCCUCCGCUUAUAAACAGAGGAUGCGAACAUUACGCAUUCUCUGGAAUUAAGCGCCACCCACGUCUCCCACGACGCCGCAAUCGACGCGUGCCGUUGCGGGGGAGCGCGGUGGACACGGAGCCCGUUGCUGUGCGGACCCAGGCCACGUGUGCCCGUGCACUGUUUUGUGCCUGGCCCAACAACGCUCGGCACCGUGUAUGGCCCAGGCCCGGGGGCUCCUGUCGGUGUACUAAAGUAGGGGGUACCUUAGUACCCCGAACUUGUGCACGGGCAGUCGCAGCACCCCCGCGGCGGGGCUUGCCGGGCGCCCGGCAAGGCCCUCCACUCUUUAGUACUGCCAUUCAAGAACAAAGUACUAGCCAAGAACACGAAGGCCCCGGCAAGAGGAGCUUGCCGGGGAGGCCAACCAGGUCAUCACCAGAAGACUUGCCGUGGCGCCCCGCGCGCCCCGGCAAGGCCCGGCGGCCGGCAAGCUUGCCGGCACAACAAGAAAAGGGCCGCGGCAAGGCACUUGCCGCGGCAAGGCUGCCACCCGAACUCCAGCGCACCCGGCGACGUGUCGUUACAAGGCCAUCCCAAGGGCACGUGGCGAGGCGCUACGCAGCCAUGCGGAGCGAGGUGGCAAAUGGAGCUGACAGAGGCGCCAUCGUGGCAACCAGUGGCUCACCUAACGGUUGUUUCUUUACACUUUUGGGGCGACCAGACGGGCAUUUAAUGCCCUUGUCCCCUGCCGUCAGAGUUAGGUAGGGGCACUGUUGUGCACUGUUGUACCAACCUGCGUUUUUACCUUUCUACCCCCUCUUCCUACGCUGCCACCUGUGGGUCCCCCCUUCAGACUAUAAAAGGGAGGCCCAUGCGCACGUAGAAGGGGUUCGGUCCAUUCGACACCCACAGCACCACCAUACGCUCGCACACUCGAGCAAGAUCAAAUAACAAACACAAAGCAGCAGUAGGGGUGUUAUCUCUCCGGAGAGCCCCGAAGCUGGGUAAAGAUUACCCGUCUCCCCGCGCGCGCUCGACCUCGAUCUGCUCUGCGCACGAUCCCCGUUCCCUUGCCGAACCAGAAGGGGCCCCCAGUGCCCCAUAGGUGCUCGAGGCCACAGAGAUACGCCCCGACAAUCUUCACUCAACCAAACCUCAACCUCAGGCAAACUCGAUGGGUCGAAAUGAUUCAAGAGUACAAUCAAAGUAUUGAAUAUACUCCUGGCAAGGCGAAUGUGAUUGCAGAUGCCUUGAGUAGAAAGGCUUAUUGCAACAACUUAAUUCUCAAGCCCUUCCAACCGGAUCUUUGUGAAGCUUUCCGCAAGCUGAAUCUUCAAGUUGUUCCUUAAGGCUUUCUUGCCAACCUCAUAGUCUCUCCUACUUUGGAAGAUCAAAUUCGCGAGGCACAACUCCUGGAUACCAUGGUGAAGAAAGUGAAACGUGGUAUUGACAAGGGCAUUUCCAAAUACAAGUGCUAUCACUUGGAUGACAAAGAUACUCUUUUCUUCGAGGAUCGUAUUGUGGUUCCUAAAGGCAAUCUGAGAAAAGUCAUCAUGAAUGAGGCACACAAUUCUCUCCUAUCCAUUCAUCCUGGAAGUACGAAGAUGUACCAUGACCUCAAGCAGUCAUAUUGGUGGACUCGAAUGAAGCGAGAAAUUGCUCAAUUCGUGAGUGAAUGUGAUGUCUGUAGAAGGGUGAAAGCAGAACACCAAAGAACAGCUGGUCUCCUCCAACCUCUUGCUAUUCCAGAAUGGAAGUUUGAUCAUAUCAAGAUGGACUUCGUGACUGGUUUUCCUAAGUCCAAGCGUGGAAAUGAUGCCAUCUUCAUUGUCAUUGACAAGCUUACUAAAGUGGCUCAUUUUCUUCCUGUCAAAGAAUCUAUCACAGCAGCUCAGCUGGCAGAGCUAUACACCUCCAGAAUUGUCUCCUUGCACGGUAUUCCGCAAUUGAUCUCUUCAGACCGUGGAAGCAUUUUCACUUCUAAGUUCUGGGACUCCUUUCAGAAGGCCAUGGGCACCAACAUUCGUUUCAGCACAGCUUUCCAUCCUCAAACAAGUGGACAAGUCGAGCGAGUCAAUCAAAUCCUUGAAGAUAUGCUCAGGGCUUGUGUCAUUUCCUUUGGCAUGAAGUGGGAAGAGUGUCUCCCAUAUGCCGAGUUCUCCUACAACAACAGCUUCCAAGCGAGUUCGGGCAAGGCCCCAUUCGAAAUUCUCUAUGGCAGAAAGUGCCAUACUCCUCUCAACUGGUCCGAGACAGGUGAACGCCAACUUCUUGGCAACGACUUGAUCACAAAAGCCGAAGAAAUGUGCAAAGUCAUUCGUGAGAAUCUUAAAGCCGCGUAAUCGCGCCAGAAGGGCUAUUAUGAUGACAAGCACCGUGAUGUGGCUUUUGAAAUCGGAGACCAUGUCUACCUCCGUGUCUCUCCAAUGAAAGGCACUCGUCGCUUCGGUAUCAAAGGGAAGCUUGCCCCUAGAUACGUGGGUCCUUUCAAGAUCAUUGGCAAAAGAGGCGAUCUCGCCUAUCAACUUGAGCUUCCAUCCAACUUUGCAAACGUGCAUGAUGUGUUUCACGUGUCACAGCUCCGCAAGUGCUUCAAGAUUCCUGAACGCACUAUCAACUUUGAAGAAAUUGACCUCCAAGAAGAUCUCUCUUAUCAUGAGCACCCUGUUGCUAUUCUUGAAGAAACCGAGCGCAAGACUCGCAACAAGUCAAUCAAAUUCCUGAAAGUAAAGUGGUCACACCAUUCCGACCGAGAAGCCACCUGGGAGCGCGAGGAUGACCUCCGUUCCGAAUAUCCAGAGUUCUUUCAAUCCUAGAUCUCGGGACGAGAUCCUCUUGUAGUGGUGGAGUGUUGUAACACCCCGGAUGUAUCUUUCCAUAUUUGUAACUCCAACUCUUUCCAUUUUCGGAUAUGUGCUAUGAUAUUCCCUCCGUGGUUGGGUUUUGUUUUCGUUUUGCAUUUUGUCCAUGUCAUGCAUCUCAUAUCAUGUCAUCAUGUGCAUCUCAUAUGCAUACGUGUUCGUCUCAUGCAUCCAAGCAUUUUCCCCGUUGUCCGUUUUGCAUUCCGACACUCCCACAUGCACCGGCGCACUCCUCUUGUUCUUUUUCCGUGUGCGGGUGUUGAACAUUCUCGGAAUGGACCGAGCCUUGCCAAGUGGCCCUGGUAUAUCACCGGUAGACCACCUGUCAAGUUUCGGGUCAUUUGGAGCUCGUUUAGUACUCCAACGGUUAACCGCACUCUCGCAAAGGCCUCUUUUAAGUUGCAGCCCAACACCCCUCCAAAACAGCCCUAUAACCCACCUAAGUCACCUCCAUGCUCUCGGUCGUUCGAUCACGAUCGUGUGGGCGAAAACCGCACCCCAUUUGGAGUCUCCUAGCUCCUUCUACCUAUAAAAACACCCCCUCCCCCGGAUUUCCGGACGAAAUCCGGGCGGCCGGACACGUCCGCCCGCGCCGCCGGACGAAUCGCGCGCCGCCACGUGGGCAGCCCGCGCCCCACAUCGCNNNNNNNNNNNNNNNNNNNNNNNNNNNNNNNNNNNNNNNNNNNNNNNNNNNNNNNNNNNNNNNNNNNNNNNNNNNNNNNNNNNNNNNNNNNNNNNNNNNNNNNNNNNNNNNNNNNNNNNNNNNNNNNNNNNNNNNNNNNNNNNNNNNNNNNNNNNNNNNNNNNNNNNNNNNNNNNNNNNNNNNNNNNNNNNNNNNNNNNNNNNNNNNNNNNNNNNNNNNNNNNNNNNNNNNNNNNNNNNNNNNNNNNNNNNNNNNNNNNNNNNNNNNNNNNNNNNNNNNNNNNNNNNNNNNNNNNNNNNNNNNNNNNNNNNNNNNNNNNNNNNNNNNNNNNNNNNNNNNNNNNNNNNNNNNNNNNNNNNNNNNNNNNNNNNNNNNNNNNNNNNNNNNNNNNNNNNNNNNNNNNNNNNNNNNNNNNNNNNNNNNNNNNNNNNNNNNNNNNNNNNNNNNNNNNNNNNNNNNNNNNNNCGUCGCCUGAAGGUCGCCGCCCGUCCCCGCGCCGCCGCGCCGGAGCUCUGCCAGAUCCGGCCGGCGCCCCCAACUCCGGCGACCUCGACCCUCCGGAUCUCAGAUCCAAAACACUAGGUUGACUUUUCCCAUACCCCGAAAUCUCUCUAAGUCAUUUUCUGUAAUAAUUUUCGUGCAUUUUCAUCGCAUCACACCUCCGCAACCGUGGCUCCGUUUUGGGCUUAUAAUAUGUCAAAUUGUUUGCCUCGAAGAGUACAUCAUUUCGUUCCAUUGCAUCAUUUGCAUUUGAGCUCAUCUUGAUGCCCGAAAUGCUGUUGGAAGAGGGCUUCAGAUUGUUAGUUUCUGUUUCUUAACAGAACUUGCACUUUUAUCAUUUUUGCCAUGAUUAAUGUGUGCACCUUAUGAACUUGAGCCCUACAUGUGUGUUAAACUAUGCCAUGCCAUCUUUCCAGGGGUAUAUGCCAUGUAUUUUUGUGAGUUAUGUGGUGACUAGAACAAGCAUGCAAACUAGGGAUGAUAAUGUUGCUGAUUUCAGGAACUUAAAGUUUUCACUGUCUUGUCCUGCUGUUUUUUUUAUGCCAUAUGUUCAUAUUGUUACAGAGAGAUCCAUGCCCUUUUUGAGCAUGAUCAGUAAGGGUGUUUUGAACAUAUGGAUGUGCUCUAUCCAUCUAUGCCUUUGUUGGCAUUUAUGGAGUAGUCUAGAAUGUCAUUUUCGUGCUCUACUUUUGCUUGAAAAUGUUUCCUGGCAGAUUGCUUGCAUGAGAUUCAAUUUUCACGAGGUCGUUGUAGUUGAUCCGUGUAUGCUAUGAUGUUGUUCUUGCCAUGUAUAGCUUCUAUGCCAUGUCUUCUUAAUGGGUGUAUGCUUAGUUUAUCAUGAGAUGCUCUGUAGUGAGUGCAUCGAGCUCACGAACAUGCCUACUUGUUAUCUGUUUUUGCCAUGCCCAGUUUUCUGCUAAGUCUGAAAUCUGUAAUAAAAACUUGCUAUGUUUACAUGGGUGCCACCAUUUCUUAUGGUCCUUUUUGGCUUAUGGUCAGUAAGGGACUAUUGAUAUAUGCUUUGAGUAGAAUCAUGUCAUGCCUUGUUUUGCUAUUAUAAGUUCCUGUAGCUUGUUGUUUUCUUGCUCUAAACAUGCCUUCCUGAUGUUAAUUCCUGGCAUGCUAGUAUUUUCACUAAGUCUGUGAACCUGAUAUUUUUUGCACUUUUACCAUGCUUAUUUGAACAUGUUCUGAUGUGAUCUAGCCGUAGCUCAGUGUUCCUCUUUUGAUAAGCAUCUCCUGUAGAUCACUGCCAUAUGCUUUGUUUUUAUGCUGGGGUGCUAUAGCAUAGUUUCUUGUUGCAUGCUAAGUAGCAUCGUGCUGUUAAACGCAGAUUUGUGCCAUUAUUGUUUUGCUUGCCAUUUGCAAACCGUGCAUCCUAUUCCGGUGAUCUUUAUAUCGAUUUCAACCGAAAUCUUCUCAUCUUUCCAGCGGCAUACUUGGUUUGCCAAGUUGAUGCCCGGUUCAUCAUUUUCCUUCUGGAGCAUACAUAUGCAUUGCAUAUCACAUCUCGCAUAGCAUGUCAUGUAUUGCAUCAUAUUGCUUGUGCAUUGUUCCUUGUUUGAUUGUGGUUCCGUUGCUUGUGUUCUUGCUUUGGGUAGAGCCGGGAGACGAGUACGUGUACGAGGAACCUGUUGAGAACGCCUACGAGGAUCAAGCCUUCGACAACUCUGAGAACCUUGCAGGCAAGAUGACCAUACCUUCGAUAUCACUUCUAUCUUUGCUUGCUAGAUGCUCGCUCUUUUGCUAUGCCUAUGUUGUGAUACCUACCACUUGCUAUAUCAUGUCACCCAUAUUGCCAUGUCAACCUCUAACCAUCCUUUCCUAGCAAACCGUUGAUUAGCUAUGUUACCACUUUGCUCAGCCCCUCUUAUAGCGUUGCUAGUUGCAGGUGAAGAUGAAGUUUGUUUCUUGUUGGAACACGGAUAUUUUGAGAUAUCACAAUAUCUAUUGUUUUAAUUAAUGCAUCUAUAUACUUGGUAAAGGGUGGAAGGCUUGGCCUUAUGCCUGGUGUUUUGUUCCACUCUUGCCGCCCUAGUUUCCGUCAUACCGGUGUUAUGUUCCCAGAUUUUGCGUUCCUUACGCGGUCGGGUGAUUUAUGGGACCCCCCUGACAGUUCGCUUUGAAUAAAACUUGUCCAGCAAGGCCCAACCUUGGUUUUACCAUUUGCCUCACCUAGCCCUUUUUUUCCCUUGGGUUUCCGGAGCCCGAGGGUCAUCUUUAUUUUACCCCCCCGGGCCAGUGCUCCUUCGAGUGUUGGUCCAACCUGAGCGAUGUCCGGCGCCCCCUGGGCAACCAGGGUCUAUGCCAACCCGUCGUCUUGCUCAUCCGGUGUGCCCUGAGAACGAGAUAUGUGCAGCUCCUAUCGGGAUUUGUCGGCACAUCGGGCGGCUUUGCUGGUCUUGUUUUACCAUCGUCGAAAUGUCUUGAUGUACCGGGAUACCGAGUCUGAUUGGAGUGUCUCGGGUGAAGGUCUAUUCCUUCGUUGAUCGCGAGAGCUUGUUAUGGGCUAAGUUGGGACACCCCUGCAGGGUAUAAACUUUCGAGAGCCGUGCCCGCGGUUAUGUGACAGAUGGGAAUUUGUUAAUGUCCGGUUGUAGAAAACCCGAAGUUGACCUUAAUUAAAAUACAUCAACCGGGUGUGUUACCGUGAUGGUCUCUUCUCGGCGGAGUCCGGGAAGUGAACACGGUGUUGGAGUUAUCUUUGACGUAAGUAGUUUCAGGAUCACUUCUUGAUCGCUACUAGCUUCAUGACCGUGCCUUGCUUCUCUUCUCGCUCUCUUUUGCGAUGUAGCCACCAUAUAUGCUAGUCGCUUGCUGCAGCUCCACCUCUUUACACCAGCCUUUCCUUAAGCUUAAAUAGUCUUGAUCUCGCGGGUGUGAGAUUGCUGAGUCCCCGUGGCUCACAGAUUCUACCAAAAUAGAUGCAAGUACCGACGAUACCAGCGCAGAUGGCGCAACUGAGCUGAAGUGGGAAUUUGAUGAGGCCCUUGGUCGUUACUAUGUUUCAUUUCCAGACGAUUAAUAGUGGAGCCUAGUUGGGGCGAUCGGGGAUCUGUGUUGCAUUUGGGGUAUUCUUCUUUUAUUUUGGUUCCGUAGUCGGACCUUGAGUGUAAUCUGAAUGAUGGAUGUUUAUUUAUGUAUUGUGUGAAGUGGCGACUGUAAGCCAACUAUGUAUCUUUUCCCUUAUGUAUUACAUGGAUUGUGCGAAGAUUACCUCACUUGCGACAUUGCUUUCAAUGCGGUUAUGCCUCUAAGUCGUGCUUCGACACGUGGGAGAUAUAGCCGCAUCGAGGGCGUUACAUUA
Molecule: long non-coding RNA, 21804 nt
Filed under: Triticum aestivum (bread wheat)
Lineage: Eukaryota; Viridiplantae; Streptophyta; Magnoliopsida; Poales; Poaceae
Description: long non-coding RNA (TAES_LNC012400)
Source: RNAcentral